This 792-nucleotide ribosomal RNA is filed under the name Escherichia coli. Its description in RNAcentral is "partial 23S ribosomal RNA". It matches the Rfam family "Bacterial large subunit ribosomal RNA", at positions 1 to 836 of the family's 2925-position model. Lineage: Bacteria; Pseudomonadati; Pseudomonadota; Gammaproteobacteria; Enterobacterales; Enterobacteriaceae. The record is from RNAcentral.
GGUUAAGCGACUAAGCGUACACGGUGGAUGCCCUGGCAGUCAGAGGCGAUGAAGGACGUGCUAAUCUGCGAUAAGCGUCGGUGAGGUGAUAUGAACCGUUAUAACCGGCGAUUUCCGAAUGGGGAAACCCAGUGUGUUUCGACACACUAUCAUUAACUGAAUCCAUAGGUUAAUGAGGCGAACCGGGGGAACUGAAACAUCUAAGUACCCCGAGGAAAAGAAAUCAACCGAGAUUCCCCCAGUAGCGGCGAGCGAACGGGGAGGAGCCCAGAGCCUGAAUCAGUGUGUGUGUUAGUGGAAGCGUCUGGAAAGGCGUGCGAUACAGGGUGACAGCCCCGUACACAAAAAUGCACAUAUUGUGAGCUCGAUGAGUAGGGCGGGACACGUGGUAUCCUGUCUGAAUAUGGGGGGACCAUCCUCCAAGGCUAAAUACUCCUGACUGACCGAUAGUGAACCAGUACCGUGAGGGAAAGGCGAAAAGAACCCCGGCGAGGGGAGUGAAAAAGAACCUGAAACCGUGUACGUACAAGCAGUGGGAGCCUCUUAAUGGGGUGACUGCGUACCUUUUGUAUAAUGGGUCAGCGACUUAUAUUCUGUAGCAAGGUUAACCGAAUAGGGGAGCCGAAGGGAAACCGAGUCUUAACUGGGCGUUAAGUUGCAGGGUAUAGACCCGAAACCCGGUGAUCUAGCCAUGGGCAGGUUGAAGGUUGGGUAACACUAACUGGAGGACCGAACCGACUAAUGUUGAAAAAUUAGCGGAUGACUUGUGGCUGGGGGUGAAAGGCCAAUCAA